This is a long non-coding RNA of Nematostella vectensis (starlet sea anemone), 3185 nucleotides long. RefSeq lists it as uncharacterized. The record is from RefSeq and is a predicted model, not a curated record. The transcript has 2 exons. Lineage: Eukaryota; Metazoa; Cnidaria; Anthozoa; Actiniaria; Edwardsiidae.
UGGUUUGGUCAACGGCUACAGGUGGUGGCAGAAAGGUCGUUGGGAAACCCCAAUAAGGAAUAGUCAAUGUUGUUAUUCUGGCUUCAUGAGCCAUUUAUAAAUACCCUGGGUACCAUAGGCUUGAGCAGGAGCUUUACUCGCAGUCAGUAAAGGGCGCAUAUUAAAUGAACGAAGCUCGAGACUCUGGUACCCAGGGUAGUUUAUAAACUGAAGAAGCCUGAAUUUCUGAAAGCCUGAAGGAAACCAAUUAAAACUGUUUCAAUGUGUUACUAUUUAUGUCACUUGGUACUAUAUGCCAUUAAGGUUGUCCAGACACCAGUGAAAGUGGUUCAGUGGGGGGUGUUCCUCUGAUCCCUAGACCAUGACAAAGCAGUUUUGAAAAAUUAAAAUAGUCAUCAACUUCUUGUCCAUCCCCCCUCCCCCUUACUAGAUCCUAGCUAUGCGUUUGGCCCACUUAAGCUGCCUUUUUUUCUCCGCUUCCAGCUUCCACAUUCCUUGCAAUAUUUCAAAAAUUUUGUAAUAACUAUUUUAAUUGUUUUAUUUUUAUAAUUAUUAUUAUUUUUUUUGACACUCACUCACUCACUAUCCUUUAAACGUCAGUUAUCCACUGGUCGCGGGUCUGACGGUGCAUGAUUCAAUUUCAACUUCCAAUGAACACGGUCUUGAGCAUCAUCUGGGGUCAGCCCCGCCAGCUUCAGGUCCUCACGGAGGACCUCAUGCCAGUUCUUGCGGGGUCUCCCCCGUGUCCUUUUGCCUUCUAUAAUGAAAUCCCUUAUCCAGCGAAUCCAAGAGGUGCUCCGCUGGACAUGGCCAUACCAUCUAAGACGCCUCCGUCUGAGGGCAGCGUCAAGGUCUUCAAUGUUGAGCCUCAGGCGGAGCUCACUUGUGCUGAUGUCAUUGCUAGGCUUUAUGGCACACAUCCAACGAAUCAUAGCUCUCUCGUUCCUCCGUAGUCGUGCCAGGUCGGUCUGUUUUAGAGGCCAGCACUCACUGGCAUAUAGCAGGGCCCCUCUGACACAACUGCUAUAAAUCCGACCACGUGUAUGCAAGGACAGGCUCUUGGAACAGAGUAUUGGUAGCAACUCCCGAAACUUGCCCCAGGCAACCCUGACCCUUGUAAUUGUGGCAGCUUCACAGCCACCACCUGCAGAGAUGUUAUCCCCCAAGUAACAGAAUGAGUCCACAACAGCAAGCUGUUGGUCGUCAACUUGAACUGUGUCCAGAGGUCUGCCAUCAAUAGGCCGGGCUACACCAAGACAACGACUGCACUUGAAAGAGGGGUUGGGGAUUUUCCAGAGAGUCAGAGGCGAUAACCAGAUCAUCGGCGUAGAGCAGCUCCCAGGGACAACCUCUGCGUAGAUCACAAGACAGGGCUUCCAGAACAAUGAUGAACAGGAGUGGGCUCAAAACUGAUCCCUGAUGUACACCGACUUGAACAUUGAAAUUAUCACUGUAGGAGUUGUCAACUCUAACCCUACUUGACGCAUUGGAAUACAUGGCUUUUACUGUUGAAACUAGCCACUCUGGGACACUUAGCCGCCGCAUUGCCCACCACAGUACUUCACGCGGGACACAAUCAAAGGCCUUUUCAAGAUCUACAAAGCCCAGAUAGAGAUGUUUUCCUUUUUCCAGGUGUUUUUCUUGCAACUGACGUAAAAUGAAAAUGGCAUCGUUCGUCCCCUUGCCAUGCACAAAGCCAAAUUGCAUCUCGUCAAUUUCCACCAAACUACGGAUGAUCUUCUCCAACACCCUCUCAAUUACCUUGAGACAGUGUUCUGUUAGUUUCAAUCCCCGGUAGCUACCCCUGUCUAAAGCAUCACCUUUGCCCUUAUAAAGAUUGAUUAUAUAACUCAGAUUCCAGUCAUCUGGGAUCGACUUCUCAGCAAUGAUUGCAUUUGCGAUAUCACAGAGCAAUGGGCAACUGAUCUCAGCUGAAGCUUUCAACAUUUCGGCAACAAUACCAGAGGGACCUGGUGCUUUGCACUGCUUCAUCUUACUGACUGCCUCUGCAACCAUCCCAGUAGUAAUAAGGAUGGGGGGACCAUAAACUGGUUCUGCUAAUGGCAGGUCAUCAACAGACCAGGGAAACUCUAUAUUCAAUAAUCGCUCAUAAUGAUCUUUCCAAGCUUUAGCUUUAGCCUCAGUGCUGAGGGCUAGGUUUCCAUGGUCAUCCCUAAUACAGCAGUCUCCUACAACAUCUUUGUUUUCCUUUUUCAUCUGCUUUGCAAUCCGAAAUAUGUCCUCUUCACCUUUCUCAACAUUUGCGAACGUAUCCACCUCAGCCUGCUUCUUCGCUGCGUAUACUGCCUUCUUAGCCACCCGUUUAGCCUUAUGAUAUUCCUCUUUACUACCACGUCCACUCUUCCAAGCUUUCCAUGUGCGCCUUUUCUCAUUUAUAGCAGAACUGACAGACUCAUCCCACCACCAGGUUUGCUUUCUCCAGUGCCCUUUUUUGGUGUAACCACAAAUUUUGUCACUGACUUUUGAGAGACUGUCUUUUAGGAGUAGCCAUUGAUCAUCUACUGAAGGAAGGUGAUGGUGACCUUCCACUUCAGAUCUCACCUCGGAUAAGAAAACACUCUUCACCUCAGGGUCUCUUAGCUUCCACACACGAAGCUUGGGGGUAAAGGAGUGUUUAUGCUGCCUCCUGGGUAUGAUGGCGAGAUCACAGACAAGCAGUUUGUGUUGGGUGGCACACUCCUCAUUUGGUAUUACCUUUACAUUAUGCACUGAUUUAAAAUGGCAUUUCUGUGACAGAAUGUAAUCAACCUGGGUAGAAGCACCUCCAGAUUCGUACGUGACAAGGUGGCUUUUCCUUUUCUGAAAAAAGGAGUUGCAGAUGACAAAAUUAUUGGCUAUAGAGAAUUCAAGAAUUCUCUCACCCUCGAUAUUACGCUCACCAUAGCCAAAACCACCAUGUACUCCAUCAUAUGCAGAGGCCUUGCUACCGAUGUGACCAUUAAAGUCACCACAGACAAAUAAAAGCUCAGAGUCAGCAAUCUUAGAAAUGGUACACUGGAGCAGAUCAUAAAAAGCAUCCUUAGAUCUAUCAUCUAACCCUGAUUGUGGGGCAUACACAGAGAGAACAGUUAAUAUAGAGGCCCCGACAUUUAUCUUGAUCACACAGAUUCUAUCGGAUACACGAUUAACUUCAACAACACUCUCUACCCACUUUUCAGCCAGAA